UGGACCGAUGAUAAUGAUUGGUGGUCCAUAAGUCAUGGAUGAUGAGUAAUAUGAGUGUGGGACUCUGAGGGCCAA
Ailuropoda melanoleuca (giant panda) is the source of this 75-nucleotide small nucleolar RNA. The record is from Ensembl. Lineage: Eukaryota; Metazoa; Chordata; Mammalia; Carnivora; Ursidae.